This 113-nucleotide ribosomal RNA is filed under the name uncultured Scutellospora. RNAcentral describes it as "partial 5.8S ribosomal RNA". It matches the Rfam family "5.8S ribosomal RNA", at positions 2 to 114 of the family's 154-position model. From Rfam's summary of the family: 5.8S ribosomal RNA (5.8S rRNA) is a component of the large subunit of the eukaryotic ribosome. It is transcribed by RNA polymerase I as part of the 45S precursor that also contains 18S and 28S rRNA. The record is from RNAcentral. Lineage: Eukaryota; Fungi; Glomeromycota; Glomeromycetes; Diversisporales; Gigasporaceae.
ACUUUCAACAAUGGAUCUCUUGGCUCUCGCAUCGAUGAAGAACGCAGCGAAAUGCGAUAAGUAAUGUGAAUUGCAGAAUUCCGUGAAUCAUCAAAUUUUUGAACGCAAAUUGC